UGCAAGUCGAGCGGAACGAUGUAGCUUGCUACAGGCGUCGAGCGGCGGAGGGGCGAGUAACGCGUAGGAACCUACCUAGUAGUUUGGGAUAGCCAUUGGAAACGAUGAUUAAUACCGGAUACGCCCCACGGGGGAAAGCAGAGGAUCUUCGGACUUUGCGCUAUUAGAUGGGCCUGCGUGAGAUUAGAUAGUUGGUGAGGUAAUGGCUCACCAAGUCAGCGAUCUCUAGCUGGUCUGAGAGGAUGAUCAGCCACACUGGAACUGAGACACGGUCCAGACUCCUACGGGAGGCAGCAGUGGGGAAUAUUGCACAAUGGGCGCAAGCCUGAUGCAGCCAUGCCGCGUGUGUGAAGAAGGCUCUAGGGUUGUAAAGCACUUUCAGUCGGGAGGAAAGGUUAUCAGUUAAUACCUGGUAGCUGUGACGUUACCGACAGAAGAAGCACCGGCUAACUCCGUGCCAGCAGCCGCGGUAAUACGGAGGGUGCAAGCGUCAAUCGGAAUUACUGGGCGUAAAGCGUACGUAGGUGGUUUGUU
This 534-nucleotide ribosomal RNA is filed under the name uncultured bacterium. RNAcentral describes it as "bacterial SSU rRNA". It matches the Rfam family "Bacterial small subunit ribosomal RNA", at positions 56 to 584 of the family's 1533-position model. The record is from RNAcentral.